RNAcentral lists this ribosomal RNA (475 nucleotides) under uncultured bacterium. RNAcentral's name for it is "partial 16S ribosomal RNA". It matches the Rfam family "Bacterial small subunit ribosomal RNA", at positions 37 to 537 of the family's 1533-position model. The record is from RNAcentral.
GAUGAACGCUGGCGGUAUGCUUAACACAUGCAAGUCGAACGGACUCUUCGGAGUUAGUGGCGGACGGGUGAGUAACGCGUGAGAAUCUGGCUUUGGGUUCGGGACAACCACUGGAAACGGUGGCUAAUACCGGAUGUGCCGAGAGGUAAAAGAGAAAUUGCCUGAAGAUGAGCUCGCGUCUGAUUAGCUAGUUGGUGAGGUAAAGGCUCACCAAGGCAGCGAUCAGUAGCUGGUCUGAGAGGAUGACCAGCCACACUGGGACUGAGACACGGCCCAGACUCCUGGGGGGGGAAGCGGGGGGGACUUGACGGCAGGGGACACACGGGUGACGAGGCACAGCGGCGUGAGAGAAGAAGUGUCUGGGGUUGUCACACACUUUGCUGAGAAAAGAACCAAAUGGCGGUAUCAAGCGAUUAAGCCGCGGCAGACGCAGGACCAGCAGCCGCGAUAAGGGAUGAAAAACCCGCUUGGAACC